UACGGAGGGUGCAUGCGUUAAUCGGAAUUACUGGGCGUAAAGCGCACGCAGGUGGUUUGUUAAGUCAGUUGUGAAAUCCCCGGGCUCAACCUGGGAACUGGAGCUGAUACUAGCAAGCUUGAGGCACGUAGAGGGGGGUGGAAUUCCAGGUGUAGCGGUGAAAUGCGUAGAGAUCUGGAGGAAUACCGGAGGCGAAGGCGGCCCCCUGGACGAAGACUGACACUCAGGUGCGAAAGCGUGGGGAGCAAACAGG
Molecule: ribosomal RNA, 253 nt
Filed under: uncultured bacterium
Lineage: Bacteria
Description: partial 16S ribosomal RNA
Rfam family: Bacterial small subunit ribosomal RNA
Source: RNAcentral